This is a non-coding RNA of Tupaia belangeri chinensis (Chinese tree shrew), 477 nucleotides long. NCBI's taxonomy places the organism in Eukaryota, Metazoa, Chordata, Mammalia, Scandentia, Tupaiidae. The record is from the annotation of a RefSeq genome assembly.
GGUUAAGAAACAGCCCAAACACACUGAAAAUAAAAUACCUUCUCUUUUACAGAACAUACAGAUCUGCUGGUGAGUGUAAUGGCAAGAAGAAAGGAGUCCUUGGGUGCUUCGUUCAUGGUCUUAUGUCUUCUGCUGAACUGGGUAAGUGGCCAGAAGAAGGAUGUGGUACAGAGUCCUUCCAUCCUGGCUGUCUGGGAGAGAGAAACGGCUGUCAUCAACUGCAGUUAUACAGACGGGGCUUCGAAUUAUUUCCCCUGGUACAAGCAGGAAGCUGGAAAAGGCCCUAGUCUCCUAAUAGAGAUGCGCUCAAAUGUGAACAGCAAACAGGACAGAAGAUUCACAUUGCUGUUGGAUAAAAAUGCUAAGCAUAUCUCCCUGCAUAUCACACCCACCCAACCAGAAGACUCAGCCUCGUACUUCUGCAUAGCAAGCACACAGUGCUCCUCAGGCACCUGCAGCCUGUCCUCAAACUGCUGA